AUACGUAGGGGGCGAGCGUUGUCCGGAAUGAUUGGGCGUAAAGGGCGCGUAGGCGGCCUGUUAAGUCUGGAGUGAAAGUCCUGUUUUCAAGAUGGGAAUUGCUUUGGAUACUGAUGGGCUUGAGUGCAGGAGAGGUUAUCGGAAUUCCCGGUGUAGCGGUGAAAUGCGUAGAGAUCGGGAGGAACACCAGUGGCGAAGGCGGGUAACUGGACUGCAACUGACGCUGAGGCGCGAAAGCGUGGGGAGCAAACAGGAUUAGAUACCCUGGUAGUCCACGCUGUAAACGAUGAAUACUAGGUGUCGGGUUUCUAUAGAGAUUCGGUGCCGCAGCAAACGCAAUAAGUAUUCCACCUGGGGAGUACGUUCGCAAGAAUGAAACUCAAAUGAAUUGACGGGG
RNAcentral lists this ribosomal RNA (397 nucleotides) under uncultured bacterium. RNAcentral describes it as "partial 16S ribosomal RNA". It matches the Rfam family "Bacterial small subunit ribosomal RNA", at positions 523 to 918 of the family's 1533-position model. The record is from RNAcentral.